UACGUAGGGGGCAAGCGUUGUCCGGAAUCAUUGGGCGUAAAGAGCGUGUAGGCGGCCCGAUAAGUCCGCCGUGAAAGUCCAGGGCUCAACCCUGGAAUGCCGGUGGAAACUGUCGGGCUGGAGUCCGGAAGAGGCGAGUGGAAUUCCUGGUGUAGCGGUGAAAUGCGCAGAUAUCAGGAGGAACACCCGUAGCGAAGGCGGCACUCUGGGCCGAUUCUGACACUGAGGAGCGAAAGCGUGGGGAGCGAACAGG
RNAcentral lists this ribosomal RNA (253 nucleotides) under uncultured bacterium. Its description in RNAcentral is "partial 16S ribosomal RNA". It matches the Rfam family "Bacterial small subunit ribosomal RNA", at positions 524 to 776 of the family's 1533-position model. The record is from RNAcentral.